AUUGAACGCUGGCGGCAUGCCUUACACAUGCAAGUCGAACGGCAGCACGGGUGCUUGCACCUGGUGCGAGUGGCGGAACGGGUGAGUAAUACAUCGGAAUGUACCUUGUAGUGGGGGAUAGCCCGGCGAAAGCCGGAUUAAUACCGCAUACGCUCUGAGGAGGAAAGCGGGGGACCUUCGGGCCUCGUGCUACAAGAGCAGCCGAUGUCAGAUUAGCUUGUUGGUGAGGUAAAAGCUCACCAAGGCGACGAUCUGUAGCUGGUCUGAGAGGACGACCAGCCACACUGGGACUGAGACACGGCCCAGACUCCUACGGGAGGCAGCAGUGGGGAAUUUUGGACAAUGGGCGAAAGCCUGAUCCAGCAAUGCCG
Molecule: ribosomal RNA, 371 nt
Filed under: uncultured Pandoraea sp.
Lineage: Bacteria; Pseudomonadati; Pseudomonadota; Betaproteobacteria; Burkholderiales; Burkholderiaceae
Description: bacterial SSU rRNA
Rfam family: Bacterial small subunit ribosomal RNA
Source: RNAcentral